UCCGGUUUGUCACCGGCAGUCUCGCAUGAGUCCCCAACUAAAUGCUGGCAACAUACGACGGGGGUUGUGCUCGUUGCGGGACUUAACCCAAUAUCUCACGACACGAGCUGACGACAGCCAUGCACCACCUGUGAAGGUGCCCCGAAGGGGAAGAUCUGUCUCCAGACCGGUCAGCGGGAUGUCAAGACCUGGUAAGGUUCUUCGCGUUGCUUCGAAUUAAACCACAUGCUCCACCGCUUGUGCGGGCCCCCGUCAAUUCCUUUGAGUUUCAGCCUUGCGGCCGUACUCCCCAGGCGGAGUGCUUAAUGCGUUAGCUGCAGCACUGAGGGGCGGAAACCCCCCAACACUUAGCACUCAUCGUUUACGGCGUGGACUAC
RNAcentral lists this unclassified non-coding RNA (377 nucleotides) under uncultured Caryophanales bacterium. RNAcentral's name for it is "uncultured Bacillales bacterium contains 16S-23S intergenic spacer region". The record is from RNAcentral. Lineage: Bacteria; Bacillati; Bacillota; Bacilli; Caryophanales.